RNAcentral lists this ribosomal RNA (1246 nucleotides) under Pusillimonas sp. Its description in RNAcentral is "bacterial SSU rRNA". It matches the Rfam family "Bacterial small subunit ribosomal RNA", at positions 33 to 1285 of the family's 1533-position model. The record is from RNAcentral. Lineage: Bacteria; Pseudomonadati; Pseudomonadota; Betaproteobacteria; Burkholderiales; Alcaligenaceae.
AUGACGUCGGAGCCUUUCACAUGCAGUCGAACGGCAGCGCGAAGAAAGCUUGCUUUCUUUGGCGGCGAGUGGCGAACGGGUGAGUAAUAUAUCGGAACGUGCCCAGUAGCGGGGGAUAACUACGCGAAAGCGUGGCUAAUACCGCAUACGCCCUACGGGGGAAAGGGGGGGAUCGCAAGACCUCUCACUAUUGGAGCGGCCGAUAUCAGAUUAGCUUGUUGGUGAGGUAAAGGCUCACCAAGGCCGCGAUCUGUAGCUGGUUUGAGAGGACGACCAGCCACACUGGGACUGAGACACGGCCCAGACUCCUACGGGAGGCAGCAGUGGGGAAUUUUGGACAAUGGGGGAAACCCUGAUCCAGCCAUCCCGCGUGUGCGAUGAAGGCCUUCGGGUUGUAAAGCACUUUUGGCAGGGAAGAAAAGGCGCCGGAUAACACCUGGCGCUGAUGACGGUACCUGCAGAAUAAGCACCGGCUAACUACGUGCCAGCAGCCGCGGUAAUACGUAGGGUGCAAGCGUUAAUCGGAAUUACUGGGCGUAAAGCGUGCGCAGGCGGUUCGGAAAGAAAGAUGUGAAAUCCCAGAGCUUAACUUUGGAACUGCAUUUUUAACUCCCGAGCUAGAGUAUGUCAGAGGGGGGUAGAAUUCCACGUGUAGCAGUGAAAUGCGUAGAGAUGUGGAGGAAUACCGAUGGCGAAGGCAGCCCCCUGGGAUGAUACUGACGCUCAUGCACGAAAGCGUGGGGAGCAGGCAGGAUUAGAUACCCUGGUAGUCCACGCCCUAAACGAUGUCAACUAGCUGUUGGGGGCCUUCGGGCCUUAGUAGCGCAGCUAACGCGUGAAGUUGACCGCCUGGGGAGUACGGUCGCAAGAUUAAAACUCAAGGAAUUGACGGGGACCCGCACAAGCGGUGGAUGGAUGUGGAUUAGUUCGAUGCAACGCGAAAGACCUUACCUACCCUUGACAUGUCGUGGAGUUUCCGAAGAUUGGGAGAGUGCUCGUAGAGACCGGACACAGGUGCUGGCAUGGCUGUCGUCAGCUCUGUCGUGGAGAUGUUGGGGGUUAAGUCCCGCACGAGCGCACCCGUGGUCAUGAGGUGGCUAGCGAAGGGCACGUCUACUGAGACUGCAGUGACAGCGGAGAACGUGGAUGACGUCAGGUCUCAUGACCCUAUGGGUAGGGCGUCCACGCUCUACCAUGAUCGGUCAAGGUUCGCAAGCCCGAGCGAACCCAUUCCCGAAGAAGCCGA